UAACUUCGGGAGAAGGGGUGCCCCCUCACAAAGGGGGUCGCAGUGACCAGGCCGCAGACUCCAACUACCGUCCAUGUACGAUCCCUACUAGAUCUGACCAACUACCCAUCCUACCUCCUCUACGCGUGUAUCCAUUUGUAUCCGCAUACCGGAUAUGUUACGCUAAAUUGAAGAAAGAAAUAUAGAUUAUAGAUUAACGACCUCUCAAUCGUGGGUACAGAUGUAUCCUUACUAUACUGAAACGGCUUCCAUUAUUCUUGAUUGAAAAGGAUCUUUCUGAUUCUCGAAGAAUGGGAUGGGGGCAAAAGGAUUGAUCGAGAAAGAUUUCUUGUUCUUAUUAAAAGAUCGUGAUUGGAUCCACAUAUGUUUGGUAAAAAGAAAAAUCUUCU
Molecule: long non-coding RNA, 389 nt
Filed under: Arachis ipaensis
Lineage: Eukaryota; Viridiplantae; Streptophyta; Magnoliopsida; Fabales; Fabaceae
Description: long non-coding RNA (AIPA_LNC001810)
Source: RNAcentral